CCAGGGUUUGAUCGAUGAGCAUAGAAAUAAUAAGGAGCAUUCAGGUUUAGAGAGGAAGAAUACCAUGAUUGAUCACCUUCUUUCUUUGCAAGAGUCACAGCCCGAUUAUUAUACUGAUGAGAUUAUCAAAGGGCUCAUUCAGAUCAUGCUGUUUGCUGGAACAGAUACAUCUGCAGUGACAUUAGAAUGGGCAAUGUCCAAUCUACUCAACCAUCCAAACAUACUGAGGAAGGCUAGAGAUGAAAUAGAAAAUCAGGUUGGGCAAGAAUGUUUGGUAGAUGAACAUCAUCUUUCCAAGUUACCCUACCUUCAAAACAUUAUCUCCGAGACCCUUAGGCUAUACCCAGCAGCUCCACUCUUAGUUCCCCACAUGUCAUCUGAUGAUUGCACUCUUGGAGGAUACGACGUGCCGCGUGGCACCUUGCUAUUAGUCAAUGCGUGGACUAUACACAGAGAUCCUACAAUUUGGGAUGAUCCUACGAGUUUCAAACCUGAGAGAUUUGAUGGAGGAGAAGGAGAGGGUCACAAACUUAUGCCAUUCGGCUUGGGAAGAAGGUCCUGUCCUGGGUCUGGUUUAGCUCAACGUGUAAUAGGGUUGACCUUAGGGUCCCUCAUCCAAUGCUUUGAAUGGGAAAGGGUGAGUGAUAAGAACAUUGAUAUGAUGGAAGGUAAAGGGAUUACUAUGCCCAAGGCUGUACCACUAGAGGCCAUGUGCAAAGCACGCCCAAUCAUGAAGAAGAUUCUGCUGCUUCAGGCUCAGCCAGUUUAUCCCUGAGCUAACGUUGUUUCUUUAAAGCUACAAUUUAGCAGUUUUAUUAUCUUGUCCAGUUAUGAUAAGCGC
RNAcentral lists this unclassified non-coding RNA (841 nucleotides) under Hevea brasiliensis (rubber tree). The record is from RNAcentral. Lineage: Eukaryota; Viridiplantae; Streptophyta; Magnoliopsida; Malpighiales; Euphorbiaceae.